This is a small nucleolar RNA of Mustela putorius furo (domestic ferret), 128 nucleotides long. Ensembl annotates it as small nucleolar RNA, H/ACA box 30B. The record is from Ensembl. Lineage: Eukaryota; Metazoa; Chordata; Mammalia; Carnivora; Mustelidae.
CCAGCACUUUCACAGGCCCUCCUCGGGCUGUGGGGCCAGGAUUUGGUAGCUGGUGCUUAGAGCAAGCCCUGGGUUGCAUCCUUGCCCUGGGACUGUGCCAAGGGCAGCCAUCACUCACUGGGACAGCA